Molecule: non-coding RNA, 112 nt
Organism: Gossypium arboreum
Lineage: Eukaryota; Viridiplantae; Streptophyta; Magnoliopsida; Malvales; Malvaceae
Source: Rfam
UGUUAAAAAUUUUUAUCAAUUUCUAUUGUUAAAAACUAGUGUGGCUCACGUGUACCUCAUUCUGAUGUACAUGAACCAGUUUUUAACAGUAAAAUAGAUAUAACUUUUAACA